RNAcentral lists this ribosomal RNA (601 nucleotides) under uncultured bacterium. RNAcentral describes it as "bacterial SSU rRNA". It matches the Rfam family "Bacterial small subunit ribosomal RNA", at positions 727 to 1332 of the family's 1533-position model. The record is from RNAcentral.
UGCUGGGCUUUAACUGACGCUGAGGCACGAAAGCGUGGGUAGCAAACAGGAUUAGAUACCCUGGUAGUCCACGCUGUAAACGAUGAUUACUAGGUGUGGGGGGUCUGACCCCUUCCGUGCCGCAGUUAACACAAUAAGUAAUCCACCUGGGGAGUACGACCGCAAGGUUGAAACUCAAAGGAAUUGACGGGGGCCCGCACAAGCAGUGGAGUAUGUGGUUUAAUUCGAAGCAACGCGAAGAACCUUACCAGGUCUUGACAUCCUAGGAAUCCUUUAGAGAUAAGGGAGUGCCUUUCGGGGAAUCUAGAGACAGGUGGUGCAUGGUUGUCGUCAGCUCGUGUCGUGAGAUGUUGGGUUAAGUCCCGCAACGAGCGCAACCCUUACUGUUAGUUGCUACGCAAGAGCACUCUAGCAGGACUGCCGUUGACAAAACGGAGGAAGGUGGGGAUGACGUCAAAUCAUCAUGCCCCUUAUGACCUGGGCUACACACGUACUACAAUGGCCGUCAACAGAGGGCAGCAAAAUGGUGACAUGGAGCAAAUCCCUAAAAACGGUCUCAGUUCAGACUGCAGGCUGCAACUCGCCUGCACGAAGGUGGAAU